CAGGGCAAGCGUGCCCUCAGGGUGGCACCCCAUGUCCCUUUGUGCCUGUCAGUCCAGAGCAAGGGACCCCAGAAUAAUUUGCCCAUUAUCCAAGAAUUAGGCUAAAAAUGUUGUGCAGCUGAGGGAAACCUGCGCCCAGGACCCGCUCUGGAGGCCACCGGGGAGCGGGGCCGCAGACUUGGAAGGAAGAGGCUGAGACCGUGGGCACAGGAGCCCGUGGGCACAGGAGCCCAUGGGCACAGGAGCCUGGAGGAGAAGGUCGGAGGGUCCCAGCCCCCUGUAACUGAGGACUAGAGGGGGAAGGGGCUCUCCCGGGGCAGGAAGGGAGGAGGGAGGACGUGGCUCCGGGUCUUUGGACGCCAAAGCCAGGCCUUGUCCCGGCAGAUGGCCUCUGAAGGCCAAGGCUGGCCCGGGAGGGCCUCUUCUUCGCCUGGACUCUGUGCUCAGCCUCUCCCUCAGCUGACCAGCAGCCACAACCACAUGAGCCGGACUCUCCAGAACCAACCACCGGCCCUGCCAUUAUAGGCUCCCCACCGACCCCGCUCCGAGCCUGGCCACUGGGAGGACCAAGGAGGGGCAUUGGAACGGAUGGGCAGCUCCAGGAUGGUGGAGAUGUUGGGGGAACAGCUUCCAGGGCUGAGGAGGAAGAGCAGUAGCGGGGUCAGUGCUGGCACACAGACCCUGCAAAGGGAGCGACCCCGAGGCAAUGGUCCAGACUGGGGGGGGGACAACUAACAGGGGAGCAGGAC
RNAcentral lists this long non-coding RNA (749 nucleotides) under Sarcophilus harrisii (Tasmanian devil). Its description in RNAcentral is "lncRNA (ENSSHAG00000029623.1)". Lineage: Eukaryota; Metazoa; Chordata; Mammalia; Dasyuromorphia; Dasyuridae. The record is from RNAcentral.